Molecule: ribosomal RNA, 494 nt
Filed under: uncultured bacterium
Lineage: Bacteria
Description: partial 16S ribosomal RNA
Rfam family: Bacterial small subunit ribosomal RNA
Source: RNAcentral
GACGAACGCUGGCGGCGCGCUUAACACAUGCAGGUCGAACGGAAAGGCCUGCUUUCCCUUGUGGAUUGCGGGUACUCGAGUGGCGAACGGGUGAGUAACACGUGAGUGAUCUGCCCCCAACUUGGGUAUAAGCCUGGGAAACUGGGUCUAAUUCCCGAUAGGACUGCAGGGUGGUGCCUGUGGUGGAAAACGAUUUUCUAGUGGUUGGGGAUGAGCUCGCGGCCUAUCAGCUUGUUGGUGGGGUAAUGGCCUACCAAGGCGGCGACGGGUAGCCGGCCUGAGAGGGUGGACGGCCACAUUGGGACUGAGAUACGGCCCAGACGCCUACGGGAGGCAGCAGUGGGGAAUAUUGCACAAUGGGCGGAAGCCUGAUGCAGCGACGCCGCGUGGGGGAUGACAGCCUUCGGGUUGUAAACUCCUUUCGACCGCGAGGAAGCCACCUGGUUGGAAGGGUGGUGACGGUAGUGGUAGAAGAAGCACCGGCUAACUACGUG